UAGGCCAGGUUGGGUCGGCCUCCCAAAACGACAUCGUUUUGGCACCUGGGGAGGCCAAGUGAAACGGCGUCGUUUCACUAGGCUAUUUAAGCCAAGAACUUUUAAAAAAAAUUCAUUUUCUCAUUGUUUUUAAAAAAAAACAGAAAUCCUUUUAAAAAAGGCUCUCCCCUCCCAGUUCUCUGGCCAAGGUAAGGGAAUCAGCCAGUCGUCAGCCACCGCGCCGGCUUUAAGCAAAAAAAAAUUUAAAAAAAAUCAUUUUCUCAUUGUUUUUAAAAAAAACAGAAAUCCUUUUGAAAAAGGCUCUCCCCUCCCCAGUUCUUCGGC
RNAcentral lists this long non-coding RNA (324 nucleotides) under Gossypium raimondii (Peruvian cotton). Its description in RNAcentral is "long non-coding RNA (GRAI_LNC000925)". Lineage: Eukaryota; Viridiplantae; Streptophyta; Magnoliopsida; Malvales; Malvaceae. The record is from RNAcentral.